CCCUAGCCUCCCGAAGAAAAAUCGUUCGGUCCCUGCCAGAGGAAAGGUCAAUAGGAUUGAUUGGCUCGAUCCAGCCGAGCGGGAUGCAGGCGACGCGAGAAUCCCUGGAUUCAACCGACGCAUGCGAUUUGUCUACGAGGGGAUCCAGCUGACAGGUGCCAUGCGGGUCGAGGCAAUAGGUAUUCGGGGUGUUCGGCAGUCCCGUGAGGCAGAUCGACAAUCGAAACUGGUCCUUUGGGAUUUGAAGAAGGUAAUCAAUCUUCAGUUUCUAGGGUCAUUCAUGGUGGAUGAUGUAUGGCACUCGCCGAUGGCAAUUAAUCAAGGUGGUGACUGUUGUUUCACGCUGGUGAGAAGAUAUUGCACAAAGCUUAGGUGAUCAAAACCCACCCCAAAAUCCCCACCAAUCAGGUAAAACCCUGUGCAUGAGGGCACAAUAAACAUUUUCUUUGUCAAAGAAAUUCUUGAUUAACUAUGACUGUGUUGUUGAUGCUUGGUUUCUUUUUUCAAGAUUUGGCUUCAGUUUAGGUAAAUCAUCAAUUUGUUUCUGGGUAAUCUCUAUUCUUACCAGAUUUACAUAUUAGAGAACAAUAUGUACUCUAGAUUAAGAUGCCGUCAUGAAAUCAUUUAUCUGAACAUAGCAAAGAAGAUUUAGAAGUUGGGGAUAGAGAAGUAGUACAGGAAUGCAAUUUAUCGUGUAGGGCUGAAUCGGCAUUUUGUAAAAUUUCCAAUGAAACACGUGUGGAGGCUACAAUCAGGUAUAGUCCAGUUUGUGAUACACCAAACGCAAUCUGAGAGAGUUAGGAAUAUAGAGAGAAGAUGGUAAUUAUGGACAGAGGAGAGGAAUAAAUGUGAUCAACAUAUAUAUGUAGUAACUGGAGAGAUGAUGUGGUGGAGUGGAAUUUGAGUAGGUGGUGAAGCAGAAUUUGGGUAGGUGACGAGUUUAUUAGCUCUGUCCAUUUGGUAAGAUGUACUAAAUGGGGCCUUAUGUAUAAUGAAUGUUAGCUACAGGAGCACAUCUCUGUAUGGAUUGAAUUCACUUGAGGAGCUGCACUUGAAUACUAUCUUGAAGCUUA
Molecule: long non-coding RNA, 1073 nt
Organism: Aegilops tauschii subsp. strangulata
Lineage: Eukaryota; Viridiplantae; Streptophyta; Magnoliopsida; Poales; Poaceae
Source: RefSeq, a predicted model, not a curated record